GGGUGUGUGUGUGUGUGUGUGUGUGUGUGUGUGCGCGCGCGUGCGUGCGCGCACGUGCCCACAGGCACA
This 69-nucleotide microRNA precursor is filed under the name Pelodiscus sinensis (Chinese soft-shelled turtle). RNAcentral's name for it is "miRNA (ENSPSIG00000019667.1)". The record is from RNAcentral. Lineage: Eukaryota; Metazoa; Chordata; Testudines; Trionychidae.